CACCUCUCAAGGUCACACCUGGCGAGUUUCCAGUACUCUACCAGUCUCGACUGUGGGAGGGAGAGUCAAGCAGAGGCCUACCUAUCCAUUCUUAGCUUGGCCAGUGGCUAGCGAGUAGAAGGCCAUCUGCUACAAGU
This 137-nucleotide small nucleolar RNA is filed under the name Ornithorhynchus anatinus (platypus). RNAcentral describes it as "H/ACA-box snoRNA Oa2053". Lineage: Eukaryota; Metazoa; Chordata; Mammalia; Monotremata; Ornithorhynchidae. The record is from RNAcentral.